GAAAUGCGAUAAGUAAUGUGAAUUGCAGAAUUCAGUGAAUCAUCGAAUCUUUGAACGCACCUUGCGCUCCUUGGUAUUCCUUGGAGCAUGCCUGUUUGAGUAUCAUGAAAUCUUCAAAGUAAAUCUUUUGUUAACUCAAUUGGUUUCUACUUUGGUAUUGGAGGUCUUUGCAGCUUCACACCUGCUCCUCUUUGUUCAUUAGCUGGAUCUCAGUGUUAUGCUUGGUUCCACUCGGCGUGAUAAGUUAUCUAUCGCUGAGGACACUGUAAAAGGUGGCCAAGGUAAAUGCAGAUGAACCGCUUCUAAUAGUCCAUUGACUUGGACAAUACUUUUAUGAUCUGAUCUCAAAUCAGGUAGGACUACCAGCUGAACUUAAG
Molecule: unclassified non-coding RNA, 377 nt
Filed under: plant metagenome
Description: partial contains 5.8S ribosomal RNA, internal transcribed spacer 2, and large subunit ribosomal RNA
Rfam family: 5.8S ribosomal RNA (bases 1-105)
Source: RNAcentral